This is a long non-coding RNA of Daucus carota subsp. sativus, 1303 nucleotides long. RefSeq lists it as uncharacterized. Lineage: Eukaryota; Viridiplantae; Streptophyta; Magnoliopsida; Apiales; Apiaceae. The transcript is spliced from 3 exons. The record is from RefSeq and is a predicted model, not a curated record.
AUAAACAAAAGCAUCCCAUGUACUUAACCAAAAAAAGAUGCAACUUUCUAUUAUUUCCCAUUUUCUCUCUCGAUACUUUCUCCCACAACACACUCUCACCAUCGCUCUCUCGACAAUUUCAUCUCCCUGCAUCAUCUCUUUAACCACCUCUCCCACCUUCUCCCUUCUCUCAAUAUCUCAAUUUAAUUCACAGCCUGAAGAUCCAUCUUCAAACUUCAAUUGGAGACCCAACAUAAAGAAACAGAUCUUGGAGUUCACGCUUGAAGAAACAUGGUUUGGAGCUCAAUUCGUAUGUUUAAAUAAUCCAAUUGGAUUUAGGGUUAAAUAAAGUAGAUCCGGUUCUCUAUUUUUUGAAGGUGGUUUAAAAAGGACAUGUUUUGCUAGGGGAAUUGCCUAUAUCUAUGGCAUCUCAUUCUACUACAACAUUAUAUGCUCAUCUGAUAGUCAUACAUAACAUAAAGAACAGGAAGGGCCCAAUCAAAGAAACAAAAGUGGAAGUAUGAAUGGUGAUCAUAAUGGAGUGUAUGCAAAUGAUAGUGCUCUUAAUUACUUUUACUAUUAUUUUCCUGGAUGUUACUUUUUAUUAGUUGCAAACCUAUGUUGUAACAAUGUAUUUUUAUGAAGAUAAAUAAUUAAUAGGUGAAUAUACAUGUUUUUUUUGAAAUUAUACAUGUAGGAAAUUUGUAGAAGUUGAGUUGGACAUAAAUUUUAUCAAUACAAUACCAUCAUCAAGAAGUUAUAUAUGUGGAGUUUCCAGAUGCCUGGUGGCUGUUACAAUAGAUAGAAGACUUAGUUUAACUUUUUUAUUUUGUUACUUUGCUGCCAGCAUUAACAUAUAAUGGUGAUAUACACUAAUUUUUUUCAUUGUUUCUUUGCUGCCAACAUUAACAUUUGAGCUGGUAAACUCGACCAUUUUUUAUACAAUUUCAGUACUGAUCUGGUGAAGAGACUCUGCAGAGAUGAUAGGCUUGGCGAGAAAUGGGGCUGCAGGUGAGGAUGAGGUUCUGAACAUAAUGGAGAAUGUUUGGAGAUCAUUGAAUUCAUCGAAGACUUCAUGUACUCAAAUUUGUUAAUUAUGUGUCAGUACAUUAUUACUGUUGGUUGACUGAAUCAUAUGUGGCUAGCUAGGAGCAGUACUUUGGAUAGUACUUUGCAUAUUGGGUAGUAGAAUGUUUAGGUGCUACUACCUGAAUAUUUGGUAGCAAGAUUUGUUGGUACUAGGUAUUUAUUUUGGUCUAGUAGUUAAAUGUUUUGAUACUUAUUUUGAUCUAAUUGGUCCCUAUUAUAUGGAUUAAAGUUGUUC